UACGUAGGUAGCAAGCGUUGUCCGGAAUUAUUGGGCGUAAAGAGCUCGUAGGCGGUUUGUCGCGUCUGCUGUGAAAACUCGGGGCUUAACCCCGGGCCUGCAGUGGGUACGGGCAGACUAGAGUGCGGUAGGGGAGACUGGAAUUCCUGGUGUAGCGGUGAAAUGCGCAGAUAUCAGGAGGAACACCGGUGGCGAAGGCGGGUCUCUGGGCCGUAACUGACGCUGAGGAGCGAAAGCGUGGGGAGCGAACAGG
Molecule: ribosomal RNA, 253 nt
Filed under: uncultured bacterium
Lineage: Bacteria
Description: partial 16S ribosomal RNA
Rfam family: Bacterial small subunit ribosomal RNA
Source: RNAcentral